This 466-nucleotide ribosomal RNA is filed under the name uncultured bacterium. RNAcentral's name for it is "bacterial SSU rRNA". It matches the Rfam family "Bacterial small subunit ribosomal RNA", at positions 28 to 492 of the family's 1533-position model. The record is from RNAcentral.
GAUGAACGCUAGCGGCAGGCUUAACACAUGCAAGUCGAGGGGUAUAGUUCUUCGGAAUUAGAGACCGGCGCACGGGUGCGUAACGCGUAUGCAAUCUACCUUUCACAGAGGGAUAGCCCAGAGAAAUUUGGAUUAAUACCUCAUAGUAUAGCAGUUUCGCAUGAAACCACUAUUAAAGUCACAACGGUGAAAGAUGAGCAUGCGUCCCAUUAGCUAGUUGGUAAGGUAACGGCUUACCAAGGCAACGAUGGGUAGGGGUCCUGAGAGGGAGAUCCCCCACACUGGUACUGAGACACGGACCAGACUCCUACGGGAGGCAGCAGUGAGGAAUAUUGGACAAUGGGCGCAAGCCUGAUCCAGCCAUGCCGCGUGCAGGAUGACGGUCCUAUGGAUUGUAACUGCUUUUAUACAGGAAGAAACCACUUACUUCGUGAAGUAGCUUGGACGGUACUGUUAAGAAUAAGGA